AUUGAACGCUGGCGGCAUGCCUUACACAUGCAAGUCGAACGGCAGCACGGGAGCAAUCCUGGUGGCGAGUGGCGAACGGGUGAGUAAAGUAUCGGAACGUGCCCAGUCGUGGGGGAUAACGUAGCGAAAGUUACGCUAAUACCGCAUACGAUCUAUGGAUGAAAGCGGGGGAUCGCAAGACCUCGCGCGAUUGGAGCGGCCGAUAUCAGAUUAGGUAGGUGGUGGGGUAAAGGCUCACCAAGCCGACGAUCUGUAGCUGGUCUGAGAGGACGAACAGGCAGACCGGGAAGUAGACACGGGCCAGACUCCUACGGGGAGGAGCAGUGGGGAAUUUUGGACAAUGGGCGCAAGCCUGAUCCAGCCAUGCCGCGUGCAGGAUGAAGGCCUUCGGGUUGUAAACUGCUUUUGUACGGAACGAAAAGGUUUGACUUAAUACGUUGGACUCAUGACGGUACCGUAAGAAUAAGCACCGGCUAACUACGUGCCAGCAGCCGCCGUAA
RNAcentral lists this ribosomal RNA (500 nucleotides) under uncultured bacterium. Its description in RNAcentral is "partial 16S ribosomal RNA". It matches the Rfam family "Bacterial small subunit ribosomal RNA", at positions 30 to 523 of the family's 1533-position model. The record is from RNAcentral.